Molecule: ribosomal RNA, 522 nt
Filed under: Metarhizium anisopliae
Lineage: Eukaryota; Fungi; Ascomycota; Sordariomycetes; Hypocreales; Clavicipitaceae
Description: eukaryotic LSU rRNA
Rfam family: 5.8S ribosomal RNA (bases 139-292)
Source: RNAcentral
UUACCGAGUUAUCCAACUCCCAACCCCUGUGAAUUAUACCUUUAAUUGUUGCUUCGGCGGGACUUCGCGCCCGCCGGGGACCCAAACCUUCUGAAUUUUUUAAUAAGUAUCUUCUGAGUGGUUAAAAAAAUGAAUCAAAACUUUCAACAACGGAUCUCUUGGUUCUGGCAUCGAUGAAGAACGCAGCGAAAUGCGAUAAGUAAUGUGAAUUGCAGAAUUCAGUGAAUCAUCGAAUCUUUGAACGCACAUUGCGCCCGUCAGUAUUCUGGCGGGCAUGCCUGUUCGAGCGUCAUUACGCCCCUCAAGUCCCCUGUGGACUUGGUGUUGGGGAUCGGCGAGGCUGGUUUUCCAGCACAGCCGUCCCUUAAAUUAAUUGGCGGUCUCGCCGUGGCCCUCCUCUGCGCAGUAGUAAAACACUCGCAACAGGAGCCCGGCGCGGUCCACUGCCGUAAAACCCCCCAACUUUUUAUAGUUGACCUCGAAUCAGGUAGGACUACCCGCUGAACUUAAGCAUAUCAAUAA